UGGGCACCAACCUGCGAGGUUUGCAGC
This 27-nucleotide non-coding RNA is filed under the name Rattus norvegicus (Norway rat). The record is from RNAcentral. Lineage: Eukaryota; Metazoa; Chordata; Mammalia; Rodentia; Muridae.